UGCAAGUCGAGCGAACAGAUGAGAAGCUUGCUCUCUCUGAUGUUAGCGGCGGACGGGUGAGUAACACGUGGGUAACCUACCUAUAAGACUGGGAUAACUCCGGGAAACCGGGGCUAAUACCGGAUAAUAUUUUGAACCGCAUGGUUCAAUAGUGAAAGACGGUUUCGGCUGUCACUUAUAGAUGGACCCGCGCCGUAUUAGCUAGUUGGUAAGGUAACGGCUUACCAAGGCGACGAUACGUAGCCGACCUGAGAGGGUGAUCGGCCACACUGGAACUGAGACACGGUCCAGACUCCUACGGGAGGCAGCAGUAGGGAAUCUUCCGCAAUGGGCGAAAGCCUGACGGAGCAACGCCGCGUGAGUGAUGAAGGUCUUCGGAUCGUAAAACUCUGUUGUUAGGGAAGAACAAAUUUGUUAGUAACUGAACAAGUCUUGACGGUACCUAACCAGAAAGCCACGGCUAACUACGUGCCAGCAGCCGCGGUAAUACGUAGGUGGCAAGCGUUAUCCGGAAUUAUUGGGCGUAAAGCGCGCGUAGGCGGUUUCUUAAGUCUGAUGUGAAAGCCCACGGCUCAACCGUGGAGGGUCAUUGGAAACUGGGAAACUUGAGUGCAGAAGAGGAGAGUGGAAUUCCAUGUGUAGCGGUGAAAUGCGCAGAGAUAUGGAGGAACACCAGUGGCGAAGGCGGCUCUCUGGUCUGUAACUGACGCUGAUGUGCGAAAGCGUGGGGAUCAAACAGGAUUAGAUACCCUGGUAGUCCACGCCGUAAACGAUGAGUGCUAAGUGUUAGGGGGUUUCCGCCCCUUAGUGCUGCAGCUAACGCAUUAAGCACUCCGCCUGGGGAGUACGACCGCAAGGUUGAAACUCAAAGGAAUUGACGGGGACCCGCACAAGCGGUGGAGCAUGUGGUUUAAUUCGAAGCAACGCGAAGAACCUUACCAAAUCUUGACAUCCUUUGACCGCUCUAGAGAUAGAGUCUUCCCCUUCGGGGGACAAAGUGACAGGUGGUGCAUGGUUGUCGUCAGCUCGUGUCGUGAGAUGUUGGGUUAAGUCCCGCAACGAGCGCAACCCUUAAGCUUAGUUGCCAUCAUUAAGUUGGGCACUCUAGGUUGACUGCCGGUGACAAACCGGAGGAAGGUGGGGAUGACGUCAAAUCAUCAUGCCCCUUAUGAUUUGGGCUACACACGUGCUMCAAUGGAUAAUACAAAGGGCAGCGAAUCCGCGAGGCCAAGCAAAUCCCAUAAAAUUAUUCUCAGUUCGGAUUGUAGUCUGCAACUCGACUACAUGAAGCUGGAAUCGCUAGUAAUCGUAGAUCAGCAUGCUACGGUGAAUACGUUCCCGGGUCUUGUACACACCGCCCGUCACACCACGAGAGUUUGUAACACCCGAAGCCGGUGGAGUAACC
This 1405-nucleotide ribosomal RNA is filed under the name Mammaliicoccus sciuri. RNAcentral's name for it is "bacterial SSU rRNA". Lineage: Bacteria; Bacillati; Bacillota; Bacilli; Caryophanales; Staphylococcaceae. The record is from RNAcentral.